AGUGGUUCUCAGGUGACGCACUUCAGAAUUGGGCUCCCUCCUCUCUGGCUCUGGAUGCGUCAACUGAGAAAUGCA
Non-coding RNA from Myotis davidii, 75 nucleotides. The record is from Rfam. Lineage: Eukaryota; Metazoa; Chordata; Mammalia; Chiroptera; Vespertilionidae.